RNAcentral lists this long non-coding RNA (926 nucleotides) under Medicago truncatula (barrel medic). RNAcentral describes it as "long non-coding RNA (MTRU_LNC005797)". The record is from RNAcentral. Lineage: Eukaryota; Viridiplantae; Streptophyta; Magnoliopsida; Fabales; Fabaceae.
ACGAACACAGUUUUUCUUCCACCAAGUAAGAAUGUCAAAGCUUGGACCAUUGUUUAAUCAGAGAGAAUAGAAAAAAUGUACCAAUUCCUUGGCCAUCUCCUUGAUUGCUAUUAUGCCCUUGAUCCAUCUUUCAAGUUACAAACUAUCUAAGCCUCCAAUAACAUAAAAAACAUAAGUUAGAAAUUUGCUUUCAUCACUUAAAUAUAAUGAAAUCAUUUAACAAUAUAAAAUCUAAACACUCUAGCUUAGCAACUUUUACCUUUUUGUCAAUCAGUGAUAAACUCAACUUCCUCCUUAUCUACAAGUACUAAGCUGAAAUAGAAAUAAAAACAUAAGAAAAAAUGUUUUAAGAUAAGAAAUAACAAACAAACUAAUUAAACAAUAGUAAAUAAUGAGUAGAUGCGUUCUAUUCAUCAUAGACUAUUAACAAAAAUAAAAAAUACACUUUUGAAUACCAGAAUAUAGUCCAAAAUAUUGUUUACUUCUUUCAUCAGUGCAAAAUCAUAAGAAAUAACAAUAUUGCUUCUAAAAAGUCCUAAAUCGAAGAAAGACAAAAUCAAAACCCUAACUUUUACUUUUGAUCAAUCGGUGACUAACUUCAUCUUUUCAAAACGAACUUGAAUGAUAGAAGCAAAUAGAGUGAGACGAUAAACCUAGAUCAUAAGAAAAAAAAGUGGAAAACGAAGUUAAGAAAAAAUCAAAAUGAAAAAAGAAAAAAAAACAGAACAUUAAGAAACAGAACAUACAAAUACGGUGAAGGUGAAUCUUCGUCGGAGUGAAUACAGAUCUCGAUGGAAACGGCGUGUUAUGGUGAUUGGUGAGCGGAACAGUGGCGAUGGUGAGUAAGGAGCGUGUGUGUGAAACGGCGCAGCUAAAGAUAGUGAUAAUGAAACUAGGGUUUUCUUAAAGGAGUGAGAAUGAAAACG